CCACCGCUAUUGGAAUACGAUUAAGACAUGCGAGUCGAGAGACGUAAGGUCUCGGCGGACCGCUCGUAACACGUGGAUAACAUGCCCUAAGGUGGGUGAUAUCGUACGGAACGUGGGAUAACUACCCAUAGGUCUUCUAUGCUGGAAGCUCGAAGGCCGAAAACUCCGGUGCCUUAGGAUUGGUCGCGGCCUAUCAGGCAGUAGUGGUGUAACGGACCACUAGCCCGUGACGGGUAUGGGCCUUGAGAGAGGGAGCCCAGAGAGGACUCUAAGCAUGAGUCCAGGCCCUACGGGGCGCAGCAGGCGCGAUG
This 311-nucleotide ribosomal RNA is filed under the name uncultured archaeon. Its description in RNAcentral is "bacterial SSU rRNA". It matches the Rfam family "Archaeal small subunit ribosomal RNA", at positions 24 to 346 of the family's 1478-position model. The record is from RNAcentral.